CGCACCUUGCACCCCUUGGUAUUCCGAGGGGUACGCCUGUUUGAGUGUCGUGAAUUAACCAUCGACCUUCGUGCUUGCGCGAAGUGUUCGGACUUGGGCGUUGCUCGUGGCUUCGGCCUUCCGGCUCGCCUCAAAUUCAUUUGCGAUCGAGGAACCCCGACGCGUGUUGAUAUACGUCUACGCACGUUAGGGCGAUCCGUCCGCACCAUAAUUCAUUCUGACCUUUUGACCUCAAAUCAGGCGGGGCUACCCGCUGAACUUAA
This 263-nucleotide unclassified non-coding RNA is filed under the name Baltazaria galactina. RNAcentral describes it as "partial contains 5.8S ribosomal RNA, internal transcribed spacer 2, and large subunit ribosomal RNA". The record is from RNAcentral. Lineage: Eukaryota; Fungi; Basidiomycota; Agaricomycetes; Agaricales.